UCUGGGUCUGCGUCUGCGUCUGCAGUAGUCGACACUCUUCGGAGACCACUGGUUGUAGCAAGGGAGAUUUCGUCAUGGCCGCCGGAGGAGGAGGAGCAGCGAGGUCGUUAAUCCUUUCACCGGUGAAAGCCUGCGCUCCGCAUCUCUUUCUUUUCGCCCUCGCUAUUUCUAUCAGCUAAUCGUUCGUACUUGCUCAUUUCCUCCUUAGCAGUACAAUGGAAUUCUGGCAGCGAGGUUCCUGGUGCUGUUGAAUUUCAGUCCCUUAAUUGAAACCUCACCCUAAUUUCAUCAUGCUUGUAAUACAGAUAUGGCUUACUACUAUGGCAUUAACAUACGUUAUGGUUUAUGGUUAUGUUCAUCGCUUUAUUUUGAUUAUGUUGUAUCCUCUGACAUUCAAUAUGCUUACAAGUUGAUAAAUUCUUUAUGGAAAUGGGACUAGGACUCAUUGGGCAUUGAUGAGCAACUUGCGAGGAUCUGACUCCACGAAUGUUGAUUGCUACUGUAGUAUCUCUAUUUGUUGGCAUAACAAGGGAAGUCUAUUUUUCUGUACAUUAUUUCAAAAUUCACUGGUUGAUCUAUUGCCAUAAAAUUUUAAUAAAAAGAAAUUAUGAUAUG
Manihot esculenta (cassava) is the source of this 615-nucleotide long non-coding RNA. RefSeq lists it as uncharacterized. NCBI's taxonomy places the organism in Eukaryota, Viridiplantae, Streptophyta, Magnoliopsida, Malpighiales, Euphorbiaceae. The record is from RefSeq and is a predicted model, not a curated record. The transcript is spliced from 2 exons.